GGCUUGGCCUUAAAAUAAUGGCCAAAAUUUCUGACAGAAAAAUUGUCAAAAUCAUUAACAUUGAAACGACUGCUGCUAAACCUAUCGUAACUAGUACUACUGAAACCGACCGUUCCUAAAACAAAUGGCGAAGAGUUUGGUGAUUGAUACCCGAGGUCCCAAAUUCGAAUCCUAGUUGAUUCACAUUUCCAGCUAAAUUUAUUUUUAAAUGAAAUAAACGACGCAGAUAGCGUGCUACUUAUCUCUCAAAAAAAUAUUAGUACUACUGUAAAUUGUUGAAAUUUCUACUAGAAACUGCC
Molecule: long non-coding RNA, 299 nt
Filed under: Ananas comosus (pineapple)
Lineage: Eukaryota; Viridiplantae; Streptophyta; Magnoliopsida; Poales; Bromeliaceae
Description: long non-coding RNA (ACOM_LNC001640)
Source: RNAcentral